UGGGGAAUAUCGCACAAUGGAGGGAACUCUGAUGCAGCGACGCCGCGUGAGUGAUGAAGGAAUUCGUUUCGUAAAACUCUGUUCUAUGGGAAGAAAAGGACUGUACCAUAGGAGAAAGCUCCGGCUAAAUACGUGCCAGCAGCCGCGGUAAUACGUAUGGAGCGAGCGUUGUCCGGAAUUAUUGGGCGUAAAGGGUGCGCAGGCGGCUUUACAAGUUGGAUGUGAAAUAUUGUGGCUCAACCACAAACGUGCAUCCAAAACUGCAAAGCUUGAGUUAAGGAGAGGUAAGUGGAAUUCCUGGUGUAGCGGUGGAAUGCGUAGAUAUCAGGAGGAAUACCGGUGGCGAAGGCGACUUACUGGACUUAAACUGACGCUCAGGCACGAAAGCGUGGGGAGCAAACAGG
This 404-nucleotide ribosomal RNA is filed under the name Fusobacteriota bacterium. Its description in RNAcentral is "Fusobacteria bacterium partial 16S ribosomal RNA". It matches the Rfam family "Bacterial small subunit ribosomal RNA", at positions 355 to 776 of the family's 1533-position model. Lineage: Bacteria; Fusobacteriati; Fusobacteriota. The record is from RNAcentral.